Molecule: RNA transcript, 3804 nt
Organism: Canis lupus familiaris (dog)
Lineage: Eukaryota; Metazoa; Chordata; Mammalia; Carnivora; Canidae
Gene: CEP83
Gene name: centrosomal protein 83
Exons: 20
Source: RefSeq, a predicted model, not a curated record
GGGCGCCGCGUCCCUCCCCGCAGUGCCCGCGGGCGGAGCCGGGCAGGUGUUCCGCGGCGGCAGGCGCGGCCCCGGCCCCGGGCGCCCUGAAGCUUCACGCGUGUGAGUCUGGUAUAAUUUGGCAUCCUGAGAGUCUGUCUUAGCAAGAAGGAAGUGGAAAAUACCCUUGAAAAGAAAACUAAGACAAAAAAGAAAGCCGGACUUACUUUUACAUGGUUAACUGCACAUUUACCAAUAUGGACACCUUUCCCCCCAUUUUUCCUCCUGGUGGAGACAGUGAGCUGACAGGUUCUCAAUCCGAGUUACAAAAAAUGUUAAUUGAUGAAAGGCUACGAUGUGAACAUCAUAAAUCUAACUAUCAGACUCUUAAAGCUGAACACACAAGAUUGCAAGAUGAGUACAUAAAGUUACAAAAUGAACUUAAGCGCCUGUUAAAUGAAAAGCAAACUCACCAGGAAAAAUUUCAGCUGCUGCUCCAAGAGCUAAGAGGGGAAUUAGUAGAGAAAACUAAAGACUUAGAAGAAAUGAAACUGCAGGUAUUAACGCCACAAAAGUUGGAAUUGUUACGAGCCCAAAUACAACAAGAAUUAGAAACUCCAAUGAGAGAACGCUUUAGGAAUCUGGAUGAAGAAGUGGAAAAGUAUAGAUCUGAAUAUAAUAAGCUUCGCUAUGAACAUACAUUUCUCAAGUCAGAAUUUGAACACCAGAAAGAAGAACAUGCACGUAUCUUAGAAGAAGAAAAAAUAAAAUAUGAAUCAGAGAUUGCAAGACUGGAGAAAGAUAAAGAAGAAAUACAUAAUCAGCUGCUUAGUGUUGAUCCCACAAAAGACAGCAAACGAAUGGAGCAACUUGUUCGAGAGAAAGUCCAUUUGUCUCAGAAAUUAAAAGGUUUAGAGGCUGAAGUAGCAGAAUUAAGGGCUGAAAAAGAGAAUUUUGGUGCUCAGGUAGAAAAUGUCCAAAGAAUUCAGGUGCGGCAGUUGGCUGAGAUGCAGGCUACAGUCAGAUCCCUGGAGGCUGAAAAACAGUCAGCUAAACUACAGGCUGAACGCUUGGAAAAAGAGCUACAAUCAAGCAGUGAACAAAAUACUGUUCUAAUCAGUAAAUUGCAUAAAGCUGAACGGGAAAUAAAUACGUUGACCAGUAACGUGAAAGAACUUAAACAUUCAAACAAACUAGAAAUAACAGACAUCAAACUGGAGGCAGCAAGAGCUAAGAGUGAGCUAGAAAGAGAAAGAAAUAAGAUUCAAAGUGAACUGGAUGGAUUACAGUCAGACAAUGAAAUUCUCAAGUCAGCUGUUGAACACCACAAAGCUCUCCUAGUAGAAAAAGAUCGUGAAUUAAUACGUAAGGUACAAGCUGCCAAGGAAGAAGGUUAUAAAAAACUUGUGGUAUUACAAGAUGAAAAGAUAGAACUUGAGAACAGAUUAGCGGAUUUAGAGAAAAUGAAAGUGGAACGUGAUGUCUGGAGGCAAUCUGAAAAGGAACAGUGUGAAGAGAAAUUGCGGGCUUCACAGAUGGCAGAAGAGUCGGCCAGAAGGGAACUUCAGAGUAUUAGGUUAAAACUUCAACAACAAAUGGUGAAUAUUGAAAAUGCAGAGAAAGAAAAGAAUGAAAAUUCUGACCUGAAACAGCAAAUCAGUAGUUUGCAGAUCCAAGUGACUUCACUUGCACAGUCAGAGAAUGAGUUGCUGAAUUCGAACCAAAUACUGAAGGAAAUGGUGGAGAGGUUAAAACAAGAAUGCCGAAAUUUCAGAAGCCAAGCUGAAAAAGCACAACUAGAAGUUGAAAGGACUUUGGAAGAGAAACAGAUACAGUGGUUGGAAGAAAAGCACAAGCUUCAGGAACGUAUCACUGACAGAGAAGAAAAGUAUAAUCAAGCUAAAGAAAAACUACAGCGAGCUGCAAUUGCUCAGAAAAAGAGAAAAUCUCUUCAUGAAAACAAAUUGAAGAGACUACAGGAGAAAGUAGAAAUCUUAGAGGCAAAGAGAGAAGAAUUAGAAACAGAAAAUCAGGUGUUAAAUAGACAAAAUGUUCCAUUUGAAGAAUAUACAAGGCUUCAAAAAAGACUGAGGGACAUACAGAGAAGACAUAAUGAAUUUCGAAGUUUAAUUUUGGUUCCUAACAUACCUCCAGCAGCAUCCAUCAAUCCUGUUAGUUUUCAGUCAUCAGGCACGGUUCCGGGCAUGGACCUAUCCUUUCCUGCUCAUAUGCAGGAGGAACAGCAUCAAAGGGAACUCUCUCUACUUCGCAAAAGACUAGAAGAACUAGAAACAACACAAAGGAAACAACUAGAGGAACUUGGAUCUACGGGGGAAUGAUGUUCUUGGAGAAAAGGCAGAUCAAAAGGGAUGAAAUCAGUGUGACUCAAUAAAGCUUGAAGUUUUAACGAAUUCUGCUGGAAUAACUUCACGUGAACAAGGCAGAGUUGCAAGUCCGCCAAACUAAGUGGAAUGUUCAUUAUCCAGAAGUCUUCAGGAUCAAAAGUCCAGACUGUAGAAGCCUUCAAUGGGGACCAGACUUCUCACCUUUAUACUUGUUGGGAUAUCCUUGGCAUAGAGAAGUUUAUUAGUUGGUGCUUCCUGAAAAAAAGAGCAGCCAUGGCCAAGAGUAAAAAACCAUGGGGAAUUUGUAACAGUACCAGUGUAGCUGAACGUCCGCCAUGAUUACCUCCUAGUAACAAGGCUUGGUCAUGCAGUGGGCCUUCAUAAACGUUGACUGAAUGACUGACUGCUAUCUAGAUAGUUCUGACAGUUGUUUAUUGUUUGGAUGUUUACAAGAAAAAAAGCUUGAGACUCACAGGAGUACACAUAAGCAACACUAAAGCUAGGACUUACCUUCCCAAGUUGCUGCUCCGUGAGAGAAAAUGCGUCCAUGAAUGCCUGGGCAAUCACAGAUAAACAGCCGUCUAUGUGUGGUGUCUUCUUAAUGUCAAAGACAAACUGAGGGUUCUUCAGGAUGUUUACCCAGAAGCGAAGAGGAAGGCUGUUCCAAAGAGAAAUCUCCUUUCAGAUACAGCCCUCCGUAGGAGGCGGAUGCUCUGUUUAUCGCAGUUUGUAAACGGGCGUUUUUGCCCUUGUUACUGAAGUAUGCACGUCAGCUUUGCCAAACAUACCAAGCGACAGAUGGCAGCAUCGCUCAGAACACGAAAGGGUUAAACUGACAAGCGCUACUGAAAGGCAAGACUAGAACAGGAGAAAUGCAAAAGUGGCCACAGACAAGACAAGAAUUUUCUCCAAAUGGUUCUGGAUUGUAUUAGACGGUGGUCACCCAUGAAAACGUUUGAUCGAGUCUCCAGAACUUCCUCUUCUCACCCCCUCUAAGUGCCACACCCUGGCCUAAGCCACCGUUGUCUCUCAGCUGGGUUAUUAGCCCUUAGAACCCCACAACUACCAGCGAUCUUCCUAACACGGGGUCAGAUCAUGUCUCUCCUCUGCUCAAAACCCUCUGUGCUCUCCAUUUGCCUCAGGUGACAGUCCCUGCAUGGUCUGGGCCACGACCCUCAUCUGCUAAUCUUCACCUUAUUCCUUCUAACUCCACUACUGGGCGCUUCGUCAUUCUUCAUGCAUACCAGCAAGCUUGUAGCUCCGGACUUUUGCUUUUGCUGUCCAUCUUCCAGAAACUGUCCUCAAACAGAUAGGUCCAUUGUUUAUGCCCUCUCCUCUUUCAAGACCUGACUCAAGUAUCAUCUCUGACCACUCUAUCCUGUUACUCUCUAUCCUUUCCCCCCUUGUCUGCUGUACUAAACUUCUAAUAUACUAUAAUUUACCUAGUGCCAUUAAAAUGCAAGCCCUAUAAGAACACAAA